AACCAGCUCUUCAAGUGGUCGGGAUAAUUAUUGGGCUUAAAGUGUCCGUAGCCGGUUUAGUAAGUUCCUGGUAAAAUCGGGUAGCUUAACUAUCUAUAUGCUAGGAAUACUACUAUACUAGAGGGCGGGAGAGGUCUGAGGUACUACAGGGGUAGGGGUGAAAUCUUAUAAUCCCUGUAGGACCACCAGUGGCGAAGGCGUCAGACUGGAACGCGCCUGACGGUGAGGGACGAAAGCCAGGGGAGCGAACCGGAUUAGAUACCCGGGUAGUCCUGGCCGUAAACGAUGCAUACUAGGUGGUGGCACGGCCAUGAGCCGUGUCAGUGCCGUAGGGAAACCGUUAAGUGUGCCGCCUGGGAAGUACGGUCGCAAGGCUAAAACUUAAGGAAUUGGCGGGGAGCACCACAAGGGGUGAAGCCUGCGGUUC
This 427-nucleotide ribosomal RNA is filed under the name uncultured archaeon. RNAcentral's name for it is "bacterial SSU rRNA". It matches the Rfam family "Archaeal small subunit ribosomal RNA", at positions 474 to 903 of the family's 1478-position model. The record is from RNAcentral.